CUGAUACAGAAGUUAGAUCAAAUAUGUUGAAGCCGGCGGCAUCAUCUUCCUCGUGUGCCCGAUGUUGGGCGAUCAUCGCAGCAGUGCUGAUCCUGUGCGCCCCACACGCUGAGCUUGUCCAAGGAGGUGGAAGGCCGGUGCCGGCCCCUCCUGCUCCUGUAGCGCAGGAGAUGCCCUAGUUUCCCUGUCUGCAACAACAAUCCAUCGCCUUCGCCGCCGCUUGCUCCUACUCCUCCCGCAGUGCCAGCGGCCAGACGUAAUUAAUUUAGCUUUGUUAUUAGUUGCAGCUUCGGCCUUGGGCGGCAGGCCGAUUGCAGAAAUUUCACCAUUUAAUUACAAGUCAAGUCAGGUUGCAAUACGACUUCAGAUUAUGGUACAGUACUUGUUUGUAAGGCAGAUUAAUUUGCCGACAUAUAUACUUUCAUCAAUAUUAUACGAUCCUAC
Molecule: ribosomal RNA, 444 nt
Filed under: Triticum aestivum (bread wheat)
Lineage: Eukaryota; Viridiplantae; Streptophyta; Magnoliopsida; Poales; Poaceae
Description: partial small subunit ribosomal RNA
Source: RNAcentral